GCACUCCUACGGGGCGCAGCAGUGAUUCCUAUUGUUCACUUUUCGCAGGCCUGAACCAGCCAAGUCGCGUGAGGGAAGACUGCCCUAUGGGUUGUAAACCUCUUUUAUAAGGGAAGAAUAAUGACUACGUGUAGUCAGAUGCCCGUACCUUAUGAAUAAGCAUCGGCUAACUCCGUGCCAGCAGCCGCGGUAAUACGGAGGAUGCGAGCGUUAUCCGGAUUUAUUGGGUUUAAAGGGUGCGUAGGCGGUAUUUUAAGUUAGUGGUAAAACGUCGGGGCUUCACCUUGAUUGGCCAUUAAAACUGG
RNAcentral lists this ribosomal RNA (305 nucleotides) under uncultured bacterium. RNAcentral describes it as "bacterial SSU rRNA". It matches the Rfam family "Bacterial small subunit ribosomal RNA", at positions 333 to 636 of the family's 1533-position model. The record is from RNAcentral.